RNAcentral lists this ribosomal RNA (502 nucleotides) under uncultured Pseudomonadota bacterium. RNAcentral describes it as "bacterial SSU rRNA". It matches the Rfam family "Bacterial small subunit ribosomal RNA", at positions 355 to 871 of the family's 1533-position model. Lineage: Bacteria; Pseudomonadati; Pseudomonadota. The record is from RNAcentral.
UGGGGAAUAUUGGACAAUGGGCGAAAGCCUGAUCCAGCAAUGCCGCGUGAGUGAUGAAGGCCUUAGGGUUGUAAAGCUCUUUUACCCGAGAUGAUAAUGACAGUAUCGGGAGAAUAAGCUCCGGCUAACUCCGUGCCAGCAGCCGCGGUAAUACGGAGGGAGCUAGCGUUGUUCGGAAUUACUGGGCGUAAAGAGCGCGCAGGCGGUCGUUCAAGUCGCGUGUGAAAGCCCCCGGCUCAACUGGGGAGGGUCACGCGAUACUGAUCGACUCGAAGGCAGGAGAGGGUAGUGGAAUUCCCGGUGUAGUGGUGAAAUGCGUAGAUAUCGGGAGGAACACCAGUGGCGAAGGCGACUACCUGGCCUGUUCUUGACGCUGAGGCGCGAAAGCUAGGGGGAGCGAAACGGGAUUAGAUACCCCGGUAGUCCUAGCCGUAAACGAUGGACACUAGGUGUUGGUGGUAUCAACCCCGCCAGUGCCGAAGCUAACGCAUUAAGUGUCCCG